RNAcentral lists this ribosomal RNA (530 nucleotides) under Deinopis sp. LB-2014a. Its description in RNAcentral is "eukaryotic LSU rRNA". It matches the Rfam family "Eukaryotic large subunit ribosomal RNA", at positions 662 to 1149 of the family's 3401-position model. The record is from RNAcentral. Lineage: Eukaryota; Metazoa; Arthropoda; Arachnida; Araneae; Deinopidae.
CGGACCAAGGAGUCUAACAUGUGCGCGAGUCGAUGGGUCUUGAAUAUGCCCAGAGGCGCAAUGAAAGCAAAGUGCUCCGUUCCCGAGUGUCCGGAGCCUAGUUGGGAUCCCCCCUGAGAUACGGGGGGCGCACCAGCGACCCGUCCUAUCCGAUUCAUCGGUUGGGCGGAGUUCGAGCGCACACGUUGGGACCCGAAAGAUGGUGAACUAUGCCCGGGCAGGACGAGGCCAGAGGAAACUCUGGUGGAGGUCCGUAGCGGUUCUGACGUGCAAAUCGAUCGUCGGAUCCGGGUCUAGGGGCGAAAGACUAAUCGAACCGUCUAGUAGCUGGUUCCCUCCGAAGUUUCCCUCAGGAUAGCUGGCGCUCGUCGUGUCAGUCUCAUCCGGUAAAGCGAAUGAUUAGAGGCCUUGGGGGCGAAACGACCUCAACCUAUUCUCAAACUUUAAAUGGGUGAGGAGUCCGACUUGCACGGUCGAAGUCCGGACGUGACGGAUGAGAGUGCCAAGUGGGCCACUUUUGGUAAGCAGAA